Molecule: ribosomal RNA, 977 nt
Filed under: uncultured bacterium
Lineage: Bacteria
Description: bacterial SSU rRNA
Rfam family: Bacterial small subunit ribosomal RNA
Source: RNAcentral
GGGGAAAGGUUGUCGGAUUUAUUGGGCGUAAGCGCGCGUAGGCGGCUUGGUAAGUCGGAUGUGAAAACCCGAGGCUCAACCUCGGGCGUGCAUCCGAAACUGCCCGGCUAGAGGUAGGUAGGGGAGAUCGGAAUUCCUGGUGUAGCGGUGAAAUGCGCAGAUAUCAGGAGGAACACCGGUGGCGAAGGCGGAUCUCUGGGCCUUACCUGACGCUCAGGCGCGAAAGCUAGGGGAGCGAACAGGAUUAGAUACCCUGGUAGUCCUAGCUGUAAACGUUGGGUGCUAGGUGUGGGCGGAUAUCGACCCCGUCCGUGCCGAAGCUAACGCAUUAAGCACCCCGCCUGGGGAGUACGGCCGCAAGGCUAAAACUCAAAGGAAUUGACGGGGCCCCGCACAAGCGGCGGAGCAUGUUGCUUAAUUCGAUGCGACGCGAAGAACCUUACCUGGGCUUGACAUGCAGGGUGAAACCCGUGAAAGCGGGCGCUCUUCGGAGCCUGCACAGGUGGUGCAUGGCUGUCGUCAGCUCGUGCCGUGAGGUGUUGCCUUAAGUGGCGCAACGAGCGCAACCCCUGUCCUUAGUUGCCAGCGGAUCAUGCCGGGAACUCUAGGGAGACUGCCGGUGCCAAACCGGAGGAAGGUGGGGAUGACGUCAAGUCAUCAUGCCCCUUAUGUCCAGGGCUGCAAACAUGCUACAAUGCCCGGUACAAAGGGCUGCGAUCCCGCAAGGGGGAGCGAAUCCCAGAAAGCCGGGCUCAGUUCGGAUCGGAGUCUGCAACUCGACUCCGUGAAGCUGGAGUUGCUAGUAAUCCCGGAUCAGCAUCGCCGGGGUGAGUACGUUCCCGGGCCUUGUACACACCGCCCGUCACACCACGAAAGUCGGCAACACCCGAAGCCGGUGGCCCAACCCUCUUGGGAGGGAGCCGUCGAAGUGGGGUCGGUGAUUGGGGUGAAGUCGUAACAAGGUAACCAAGACUGGG